Molecule: ribosomal RNA, 483 nt
Filed under: uncultured bacterium
Lineage: Bacteria
Description: partial 16S ribosomal RNA
Rfam family: Bacterial small subunit ribosomal RNA
Source: RNAcentral
UUGAACGCUGGCGGCAGGCCUAACACAUGCAAGUCGAGCGGAUGAAGGGAGCUUGCUCCUGGAUUCAGCGGCGGACGGGUGAGUAAUGCCUAGGAAUCUGCCCGGUAGUGGGGGAUAACGUCCGGAAACGGGCGCUAAUACCGCAUACGUCCUGAGGGAGAAAGUGGGGGAUCUUCGGACCUCACGCUAUCAGAUGAGCCUAGGUCGGAUUAGCUAGUUGGUGGGGUAAAGGCCUACCAAGGCGACGAUCCGUAACUGGUCUGAGAGGAUGAUCAGUCACACUGGAACUGAGACACGGUCCAGACUCCUACGGGAGGCAGCAGUGGGGAAUAUUGGACAAUGGGCGAAAGCCUGAUUCAGCCAUGCCGCGUGUGUGAAGAAGGUCUUCGGAUUGUAAAGCACUUUAAGUUGGGAGGAAGGGCAGUAAGUUAAUACCUUGCUGUUUUGACGUUACCAACAGAAUAAGCACCGGCUAACUUCGUG